Molecule: non-coding RNA, 31 nt
Filed under: Mus musculus (house mouse)
Lineage: Eukaryota; Metazoa; Chordata; Mammalia; Rodentia; Muridae
Source: RNAcentral
UGGGUAAUAUAUAUCCCCAAAUCUUGAAUGC